UGUUAAAAGUUUCAUCAAUUUGUACUUUUAAAAAUUAACAUGGCAAACGAAAUAAUCAUACAAAAACACAUAAUGUGCCACGUGUACUCAUGGUAAUGUAUAGGGAUCAGUUUUUAAUGGUAGAAAUUGAAGGAACUUUUAACA
Non-coding RNA from Gossypium hirsutum (cotton), 144 nucleotides. The record is from Rfam. Lineage: Eukaryota; Viridiplantae; Streptophyta; Magnoliopsida; Malvales; Malvaceae.